UACAGAGGUGCCAAGCGUUAGGCGGAAUCACUGGGCUUAAAGCGCGCGUAGGCGGCCAUGCGUGUCUUCCGUGAAAUCCCUCGGCUUAACCGAGGACGUGCGGAAGAAACUGCAAGGCUCGAGUCCGGAAGAGGGGGGCGGAAUUCCCAGUGUAGCGGUGAAAUGCGUAGAUAUUGGGAGGAACACCAGUGGCGAAGGCGGUCCCCUGGGCCGGAACUGACGCUGAGGCGCGAAAGCGUGGGGAGCGAACAGG
Molecule: ribosomal RNA, 253 nt
Filed under: uncultured bacterium
Lineage: Bacteria
Description: partial 16S ribosomal RNA
Rfam family: Bacterial small subunit ribosomal RNA
Source: RNAcentral